ACCUGGCUGGCUCAGUCAGAGGAGCUCGAGACUUUUGAUCUUGGGGUCGUGAGUUCAAGCCUCACAUUGGGCA
Molecule: transfer RNA, 73 nt
Filed under: Canis lupus familiaris (dog)
Lineage: Eukaryota; Metazoa; Chordata; Mammalia; Carnivora; Canidae
Also listed under: 3 other names
Rfam family: tRNA
About the family: Transfer RNA (tRNA) molecules are approximately 80 nucleotides in length. Their secondary structure includes four short double-helical elements and three loops (D, anti-codon, and T loops). Further hydrogen bonds mediate the characteristic L-shaped molecular structure. tRNAs have two regions of fundamental functional importance: the anti-codon, which is responsible for specific mRNA codon recognition, and the 3' end, to which the tRNAs corresponding amino acid is attached (by aminoacyl-tRNA synthetases). tRNAs cope with the degeneracy of the genetic code in two manners: having more than one tRNA (with a specific anti-codon) for a particular amino acid; and 'wobble' base-pairing, i.e. permitting non-standard base-pairing at the 3rd anti-codon position.
Source: Rfam by way of RNAcentral